Molecule: ribosomal RNA, 531 nt
Filed under: uncultured bacterium
Lineage: Bacteria
Description: partial 16S ribosomal RNA
Rfam family: Bacterial small subunit ribosomal RNA
Source: RNAcentral
UGGGGAAUAUUGCACAAUGGGCGCAAGCCUGAUGCAGCCAUGCCGCGUGUGUGAAGAAGGCCUUCGGGUUGUAAAGCACUUUCAGCGAGGAGGAAGGUGGUGAGCUUAAUACGCUCAUCAAUUGACGUUACUCGCAGAAGAAGCACCGGCUAACUCCGUGCCAGCAGCCGCGGUAAUACGGAGGGUGCAAGCGUUAAUCGGAAUUACUGGGCGUAAAGCGCACGCAGGCGAUUUGUUAAGUCAGAUGUGAAAUCCCCGGGCUCAACCUGGGAACUGCAUUUGAAACUGGCAAGCUAGAGUCUCGUAGAGGGGGGUAGAAUUCCAGGUGUAGCGGUGAAAUGCGUAGAGAUCUGGAGGAAUACCGGUGGCGAAGGCGGCCCCCCUGGACGAAGACUGACGCUCAGGUGCGAAAGCGUGGGGCAGCAAACAGGAUUAGAUACCCUGGUAGUCCAGCGCUGUAAAACGAUGUCGAUUUGGAGGUUGUGCCCUUGAGGCGUGGCUUCCGGAGCUAACGCGUUAAAUCGACCGCCU